GACGAAGGUGGCAAGCGUUGUUCGGAAUCACUGGGCUUAAAGGGCGCGUAGGCGGGCUGUUAAGUGCUUUGUGAAAUCCCCCGGCUCAACCGGGGAAUCGCUGGGCAUACUGGCAGUCUUGAGGCAAGUAUAGGUGCGUGGAACUCUUGGUGGAGCGGUGAAAUGCGUAGAUAUCAAGAGGAACGCCGGUGGUGAAAACGAUGCACUGGGCUUGUCCUGACGCUGAGGCGCGAAAGCCAGGGGAGCAAACGGG
Molecule: ribosomal RNA, 253 nt
Filed under: uncultured bacterium
Lineage: Bacteria
Description: partial 16S ribosomal RNA
Rfam family: Bacterial small subunit ribosomal RNA
Source: RNAcentral